GAUGAAGAACGUAGCGAAAUGCGAUAAGUAAUGCGAAUUGCAGAAUUCAGUGAGUCAUCGAAUCUUUGAACGCACAUUGCGCCCUGUGGUAUUCCGCAGGGCAUGCCUGUUCGAGCGUCAUUUCAACCCUCAAGCUCUGCUUGGUGUUGGGCCCUGCCCGCUGCGGCCGGCCCUAAAGACAGUGGCGGUGCCGCCUGGCCCUGAGCGUAGUACAUCGCUCGCUCCAGUGCCCGGUGGUAGCCUGCCAGAACCCCAACUCUCGUGGUUGACCUCGGAUCAGGUAGGGAUACCCGCUGAACUUAAGCAUAUCAAUAAGCGGAGGA
This 323-nucleotide unclassified non-coding RNA is filed under the name soil metagenome. RNAcentral describes it as "partial contains 5.8S ribosomal RNA, internal transcribed spacer 2, and large subunit ribosomal RNA". The stretch from base 1 to 120 matches the Rfam family "5.8S ribosomal RNA", at positions 35 to 154 of the family's 154-position model. The record is from RNAcentral.